UGAGUUAAGUGAUGGUUUAUUUUUGCUUCUCCCCUCUCUGCUUCCUCAAAAUCGGUGCCUAGCAUUUUCCGUCUUCAAAAAUCUUAUCUCAAUUUAAGGCUUUAAGCGUCUAUGAUCUAUCAUCACCACUGCCACCGCCACUGCCCUACCUUUUCCGUCUUCAAAACGAGGUGUCGAACUUGAAGAGAGAUUUGUGAAGAUGUCUCAGCAAGAAAACAGUAGCAGGGAUAAGAGAUGGUCUCUCCAAGGAAUGACAGCUCUUGUCACUGGUGGAACCAAAGGACUCGGGUAUGCUAUUGUGGGUGAGUUGGCAGCACUAGGGGCAAUCGUGCAUACAUGCGGGAGGAGUCAAGACCAGCUGAGUGAAAACAUCCGUGAAUGGAAGGCGAAGGGUUUUAAAGUUACUGGUUCAGUUUGUGAUUUGUCCUCUAAUGCUGAAAGAGAGAAGCUGAUGGAGGAGGUUUCUUCUUUUUUUGAUGGAAAACUUGACAUCCUUAUAAACAAUGCUGGGGGGAACAUACAUAAAGGAACCUUAGACUACACAACUGAGGAUUUCGUAUCCAUCAUGAAUAUAAACCUUGGAUCUGCUUUCCAUCUGUCCCAACUUGCACAUCCACUUUUGAAAGCUUCAGGAGCUGGAAGGAUCGUCUUUAUGUCAUCCAUUGCCAGUGUGGUUUCUAUAAACCCUCAAUAUCCUAUAUAUUCAGCUACUAAAGGUGCAAUGAACCAACUUACAAGGAAUUUGGCUUGCGAAUGGGCUAAGGACAACAUAAGGGUUAACGCAGUGGCACCAUGGUCCGUCCGAACUCCUCUCACUGAACAAUUUCUCGACGACGAAAAAAUUCGGAAGGACGUUGUCAAUCGAACCCCUAUGAAACGAUUUGGAGAACCAGGGGAUGUGUCUUCUGUUGUCGCAUUUCUAUGCUUCCCUGCACCAGGCUUCUUAACCGGACAAGUUAUUUGCGUUGAUGGGGGGAUGUCAGUGAAUGGCUUCUCCAUGGACUGAAAACUAAUUAGCUUCAAGGCCUGUUGGUUCAUCUACUAGCUAGCAGGAAAUGUACGAGAGAAUCAUAUUGCUGGUUGUUGAAGUAUUAUAGCCAAAUAAUAGUCAAAGACUAUCAAUAGCCAAAAAGUAUGGACGACUGGAACAAUGGGAGAGCUCACCCCGGCUGUGAAGAUUGAUGGACGUGAAGUUGGCGAUGGACAAGUGGGACCUGUGACUCGAAGGUUGCAAAAUGCUUACAAAAAGCUUACAGAAGAGUCAGGAGUGCCCAUACCAUCCAAUCAGGAGAAUUAAAUAA
Populus trichocarpa (black cottonwood) is the source of this 1301-nucleotide RNA transcript. It is a transcript of the gene named tropinone reductase homolog At2g29150-like, with no coding region annotated. The record is from RefSeq and is a predicted model, not a curated record. The transcript is spliced from 8 exons. NCBI's taxonomy places the organism in Eukaryota, Viridiplantae, Streptophyta, Magnoliopsida, Malpighiales, Salicaceae.